AGGAGGGAGAUGGCUGCCCACUUAAAGCACAAGCCCCGAGUGCUCUCCGUCCUGUGAGCUCUCCAAAUGCCAGCUUGCUCAGCUGAUUCACUUUGACGCAGGCAGGUUCAUCAGAAAGCCUUGGAACAGACCCCAGUACUGGUCCAAGCCCUGAAGACUGCACCCAGGAAAGUGGAGGUAUGGACAGAGGCAGCCGGUGCCUGAGGAAGCUCCACGGGGCAGGCAAGGCCCCCACGUCCAGUCUCAGCCCCUCUUUUGGCCACAUGCCGGAGAAGGAAAUUUUGUGCCUUGAAUAAUGAAUCCCCCUGGAGCCCACGGUACCUGUACUUCUCUUUAGUGUCCACUGAGAAUAACGUGUUCGACAUUCAAGUGACAACACUGGAAAGCAUUUCAAAGCCCUGGAGCCCCAGAACGCUGUACACCCCGACGGCUCUUCUGCCUGCCCUCUCUUUGGCUUCCAAAUGCAGCAAGCUCUUUCUUUACUUAAAAUGUGUUCAUCUUUCACACGCAUCCUGGAUGUACCACAGAAAGACAGUACAGAUAGGCAGGCUCUUAUUUCUGAAGCUGAGCUGGUCCCGCCCAGCACAAAGCUUUAAAGCUGCUAAGGCUCCAGGAUAUUAUCCAGUUUUUAAAAAUGGAAAAACUGGGAACAGGGAGGCUCAAUAUCUUGUCCCAGGCCCAAACAGGCUUUUCUGGAGUCAGUAUCAUUCAACUGGCUCAGGCUGGAUUUUCAUAAGAAAAGAUAAUAAACAUUUACUAAUGUAAUAAAAUAGACACCUUUUAAGUCACAAGCAGUAUCCAAACCUUUGGGACAUUCUAUGGUGCUGAACAGCUAUUUCAUAGAGGCUUUAUGUUAAGGAGCAAGUGCAGAAAAAAAUCUGAAAAUCUCAGUAAGAUGAGAAAACGAAAGCUUUACAAAAUGGUAGAAGAAAGUAGUCUCUCAUGCCUAAACUUCCAAAUAAGUUUUUGUUUGUUUGUUUUGGGUUUUUAGUUGAGCAUUCUUUCUGGUUUGAAAUAGAUUCAGAAGGCUUUUUAAAACAAGUCACUUUUGGCCAAAUAUAUUAAGGUAUAACCAAAUGAUACCAUAGAUCCAUUUAGAAAACAGAAAGUUCUUUACUGACAUGAAAGGAUUUCUAAGACAUAUUCAUAAGUAAAAAAGCAAAUAUACUACUAUUUGUAUGGGAUGAAAAAAUAAAAGAAACAUGUAUAUACAUACUUGUUUGUAUAUGCAUAGACUAUCUCUCUGGGUGGAUGUUGCCUUUUAAGGGGGGAAGGCUGAGGUGGGAGGACAGAGUUUCUCUCCUUUAUCUAAAUCAGGGGUGUCCAAUCUUUUGGCUUCCCUGGGAUAUAUUGGAAGAAGAAGAAUUGUCUUGGGCCACACAUAAAAUACACUAACGAUAGCUGAUGAGCUAAAAAAAUGCAAAAAAAUCUCAUAGUGUUUUUAGAAAGUUUAUGAAUUUGUGUUGGGCCACAUAUGGCCUUGAGGGCCACAGGUUGGACAAG
This 1503-nucleotide long non-coding RNA is filed under the name Homo sapiens (human). RNAcentral's name for it is "HSALNT0326894". Lineage: Eukaryota; Metazoa; Chordata; Mammalia; Primates; Hominidae. The record is from RNAcentral.